AUAUCAAUAAGCGGAGGAAAAGAAACCAACAGGGAUUGCCCUAGUAACGGCGAGUGAAGCGGCAACAGCUCAAAUUUGAAAUCUGGCCUUCGGGUCCGAAUUGUAAUUUGUAGAGGAUGCUUUGGGUGCGGUACCUUCCGAGUUCCCUGGAACGGGACGCCGGAGAGGGUGAGAGCCCCGUACGGUUGGAUACCAAGCCUAUGUAUAGCUCCUUCGACGAGUCGAGUAGUUUGGGAAUGCUGCUCUAAAUGGGAGGUAAAUUUCUUCUAAAGCUAAAUACCGGCCAGAGACCGAUAGCGCACAAGUAGAGUGAUCGAAAGAUGAAAAGCACUUUGAAAAGAGGGUUAAAUAGCACGUGAAAUUGUUGAAAGGGAAGCGUUUGCGACCAGACCUUUUCCAGGCGGAUCAUCCGGUGUUCUCACCGGUGCACUUCGCCUGGUUUAGGCCAGCAUCGGUUUUCUUAGGGGGAUAAAGGUUUAGGGCACGUAGCUCCUUCGGGAGUGUUAUAGCCCUCUACGUAAUACCCUUCGGGGGACCGAGGACCGCGCAUUGCAAGGAUGCUGGCGUAAUGGUCGUCAACGACCCGUCUUGAAACACGGACCAAGGAGUCGAACAUUUGUGCGAGUGUUUGGGUGUUAAACCCUCACGCGUAAUGAAAGUGAACGGAGGUGAGAGCCCUUCGGGGUGCAUCAUCGACCGAUCCUGAUGUCUUCGGAUGGAUUUGAGUAAGAGCAUAACUGUUCGGACCCGAAAGAUGGUGAACUAUGCGUGGAUAGGGUGAAGCCAGAGGAAACUCUGGUGGAGGCUCGCAGCGGUUCUGACGUGCAAAUCGAUCGUCAAAUCUGCGCAUGGGGGCGAAAGACUUAUCGAACCAUCUAGUAGCUGGUUACCGC
This 893-nucleotide ribosomal RNA is filed under the name Hypomontagnella monticulosa. RNAcentral's name for it is "partial large subunit ribosomal RNA". It matches the Rfam family "Eukaryotic large subunit ribosomal RNA", at positions 40 to 961 of the family's 3401-position model. The record is from RNAcentral. Lineage: Eukaryota; Fungi; Ascomycota; Sordariomycetes; Xylariales; Hypoxylaceae.